UCCUACGGGAGGCAGCAGUGGGGAAUAUUGCACAAUGGGCGCAAGCCUGAUGCAGCCAUGCCGCGUGUAUGAAGAAGGCCUUCGGGUUGUAAAGUACUUUCAGCAGUGAGGAAGGCGGGUACGUUAAUAGCGUGCUCGUUUGACGUUAGCUGCAGAAGAAGCACCGGCUAACUCCGUGCCAGCAGCCGCGGUAAUACGGAGGGUGCGAGCGUUAAUCGGAAUUACUGGGCGUAAAGCGCAUGCAGGUGGUUUGUUAAGUCAGAUGUGAAAGCCCGGGGCUCAACCUCGGAAUUGCAUUUGAAACUGGCAGACUAGAGUACUGUAGAGGGGGUAGAAUUUCAGGUGUAGCGGUGAAAAUGCGUAGAGAUCUGAAGGAAUACCGGUGGCGAAGGCGGCCCCCUGGACAGAUACUGACACUCAGAUGCGAAAGCGUGGGGAGCAAACAGGAUUAGAUACCCUGGUAG
This 464-nucleotide ribosomal RNA is filed under the name uncultured bacterium. RNAcentral's name for it is "bacterial SSU rRNA". It matches the Rfam family "Bacterial small subunit ribosomal RNA", at positions 337 to 793 of the family's 1533-position model. The record is from RNAcentral.